Manis javanica (Malayan pangolin) is the source of this 316-nucleotide non-coding RNA. Lineage: Eukaryota; Metazoa; Chordata; Mammalia; Pholidota; Manidae. The record is from RefSeq and is a predicted model, not a curated record.
UUAUAUUUAGUGUAAUAUUGCUUGGAUUUUUUUCUCUGAAAUCUGUAGAAUCAAGAGCAGGCUGUGUACAGGUUUAAGUAGACCUAUUAACCUCACUGAUGUCUUCAGAUAUGUAACCCACUGCAGAACAGUGCUGGGCAGUGCCGCUCGCGUCAGAAUCAUCAGGGCCGGUGACGUGCACUUCAAAUCCUGAGGAGCUUUGAAAACAUGAGUUCAGGUCCCUCCUCCAAACCAGUUUAGUCGGUCUCUGAUGGUGGGGCCCUGGCAUCUCCCAAAUGGUCCUGAGGUUCAUCAAGGCCAGAGAACCACUGACCAA